UACAGAGGGUGCGAGCGUUGUCCGGAAUUAUUGGGCGUAAAGAGCUCGUAGGUGGUUUGUCGCGUUGUUCGUGAAAACUCACAGCUCAACUGUGGGCGUGCGGGCGAUACGGGCAGACUAGAGUACUGCAGGGGAGACUGGAAUUCCUGGUGUAGCGGUGGAAUGCGCAGAUAUCAGGAGGAACACCGGUGGCGAAGGCGGGUCUCUGGGCAGUAACUGACGCUGAGGAGCGAAAGCGUGGGGAGCGAACAGG
RNAcentral lists this ribosomal RNA (253 nucleotides) under uncultured bacterium. Its description in RNAcentral is "partial 16S ribosomal RNA". It matches the Rfam family "Bacterial small subunit ribosomal RNA", at positions 524 to 776 of the family's 1533-position model. The record is from RNAcentral.